ACAUGCUAAAAACCCCGACUUCGGAAGGGGUGUAUUUAUUAGAUAAAAAACCAAUGCCCUCUGGGCUCUUUGGUGAUUCAUAAUAACUUAACGAAUCGCAUGGCCUUGCGCCGGCGAUGGUUCAUUCAAAUUUCUGCCCUAUCAACUUUCGAUUGUAAGAUAGAGGCUUACAAUGGUAUUAACGGGUAGCGGGGAAUUAGGGUUCUAUUCCGGAGAGGGAGCCUGAGAAACGGCUACCACAUCCAAGGAAGGCAGCAGGCGCGCAAAUUACCCAAUGCUAAUUCAGCGAGGUAGUGACAAUAAAUACUGAUACGGGGCUCUUUCGGGUCUCGUAAUUGGAAUGAGUACAAUCUAAAUCCCUUAACGAGGAACAAUUGGAGGGCAAGUCUGGUGCCAGCAGCCGCGGUAAUUCCAGCUCCAAUAGCGUAUAUUAAAGUUGUUGCCGUUAAAAAGCUCGUAGUUGAACCUUGGACCUGGCUGAUCUGUCCUCCUAAUCGAGCGCACGGAUUCGGUCGGGUCUUUCCUUCUGGGGAGCCCUAUGCCCUUCACUGGGUGUAGUGGGGAACCAGGACUUUUACCUUGAAAAAAUUAGAGUGUUCAAAGCAGGCCUUUGCUCGAAUACAUUAGCAUGGAAUAAUAGAAUAGGACAUCGGUUCUAUUUUGUUGGUUUCUAGGACCGCUGUAAUGAUUAAUAGGGAUAGUCGGGGGCGUCAGUAUUCAAUUGUCAGAGGUGAAAUUCUUGGAUUUAUUGAAGACUAACUACUGCGAAAGCAUUCGCCAAGGAUGUUUUCAUUAAUCAGUGAACGAAAGUUAGGGGAUCGAAGACGAUCAGAUACCGUCGUAGUCUUAACCAUAAACUAUGCCGACUAGGGAUCGGACGGUGGUUUUUUUAUGCCCCGUUCGGCACCUUACGAGAAAUCAAAGUUUUUGGGCUCGGGGGGGAGUAUGGUCGCAAGGCUGAAACUUAAAGAAAUUGACGGAAGGGCACCACCAGGCGUGGAGCCUGCGGCUUAAUUUGACCCAACACGGGGAAACUCACCAGGUCCAGACAUGCUUAGGAUUGACAGAUUGAUAGCUCUUUCUUGAUUGUAUGGGUGGUGGUGCAUGGCCGUUCUUAGUUGGUGGAGUGAUUUGUCUGCUUAAUUGCGAUAACGAACGAGACCUUGACCUGCUAAAUAGCCAGGUUGACUUUUGUCGGCCGCCGGCUUCUUC
This 1212-nucleotide ribosomal RNA is filed under the name metagenome. RNAcentral's name for it is "SSU rRNA". It matches the Rfam family "Eukaryotic small subunit ribosomal RNA", at positions 169 to 1413 of the family's 1831-position model. The record is from RNAcentral.